GCAUAAAUAUAUCGAGGAACACCAGUGGCGAAGGCGGCUAUUGAACUGUAAUUGACACUUAAGCACGAAAGCGUGGGGAGCAAAUAGGAUUAGAUACCCUAGUAGUCCACGCCGUAAACGAUCUAGAUUAGAUGUCGGAAUUAUUCGGGUAUCGCAGCUAACGCAUUAAAUCUAGCGCCUGGGUAGUACGCACGCAAGUGUAAAACUCAAAGGAAUUGACGGGGGACCCGCACAAGUGGUGGAGCAUGUGGUUUAAUUCGAUGAUACGCGAAAAACCUUACCUACGCUUGACAUACUUGGCAAAACUAUAGAGAUAUAGUCGAGGUUAACCAAUGUACAGGUGAUGCAUGAUUGUCGUCAGCUCGUGUCGUGAGAUGUUUGGUUAAGUCCAGCAACGAGCGCAACCCCUAUCCUAUGUUACCAGCAUUAAGUUGGGGACUCAUGGGAGACUGCUAGGGUAACCUAGAGGAAGGUGGGGAUGACGUCAAAUCAUCAUGCCCCUUAUGCGUAGGGCUACACACGUGCUACAAUGGUACAUACAAAGUGCUGCAAACCCGUGAGGGUAAGCGAAUCACAAAAAAUGUAUCUCAGUCCGGAUCGAAGUCUGCAAUUCGACUUCGUGAAGUUGGAAUCACUAGUAAUCGUAGGUCAGCAAUACUACGGUGAAUACGUUCUCGGGUCUUGUACACACCGCCCGUUAAACCACGAAAGUCGGCAAUGCCUAAAACCAGUGUCCUAACCUUUUUAAGGAGGGAGCUGUCUAGGGUAGGGUUGAUAAUUGGGGUUAAGUCGUAACAAGGUAAC
RNAcentral lists this ribosomal RNA (804 nucleotides) under uncultured Mollicutes bacterium. RNAcentral describes it as "bacterial SSU rRNA". It matches the Rfam family "Bacterial small subunit ribosomal RNA", at positions 688 to 1500 of the family's 1533-position model. Lineage: Bacteria; Bacillati; Mycoplasmatota; Mollicutes. The record is from RNAcentral.